GAAAUGCGAUACUUGGUGUGAAUUGCAGAAUCCUGUGAACGAUCAAGUCUUUGAACGCAAGUUGCGCCCAAAGCCAUUAGGUUGAGGACACGUCUGCCUAGGCAUCUCACGUUGCGUCGCCCGUACUCCCUUAGCCCAGAAGGGAAGGGUUGCGGGCGGAUGUUGGCCUGCAUAGGUGCGCCGGGGCGCGGUUGCCCUAAAAACGAGUCCCUCGCAACAGACGACGUGUCGCGACGAGUGUUGGUUGACAAACCGUUGCAUCGCCUCACGCGCGUCCGAGUCAUCGCUGAAGGUUUGUUGUGACCCUAUUGGGCCGUUGCCAAGGCGCUCUGAUCACGACCCCAGGUCAGGCGGGAUUACCUGCUGAGUUUAA
RNAcentral lists this unclassified non-coding RNA (373 nucleotides) under uncultured fungus. RNAcentral's name for it is "sequence contains ITS1". The stretch from base 1 to 107 matches the Rfam family "5.8S ribosomal RNA", at positions 50 to 154 of the family's 154-position model. Lineage: Eukaryota; Fungi. The record is from RNAcentral.